GGGGUGAAAGGCCAAUCAAACUUGGAGAUAGCUCGUACUCCCCGAAAUAUAUUUAGGUAUAGCGUCUGGUUUUGUCUCACUGGAGGUAGAGCACUGAUUAGGCUAGGGCCCUUCACCGGGUACCAACCCUAGACAAACUCCGAAUACCAGUGAUGAGCCGCCAGGCAGUCAGUCGCAGGGUGAUAACGUCCUGUGGCGAGAGGGGAACAACCCAGACCACCAGCUAAGGUCCCUAAAUACCGACUAAGUUGAUCAAAGAAAGUUGAGUUGCUCAGACAACUAGGAGGUUGGCUUAGAAGCAGCCAUUCCUUUAAAGAG
Molecule: ribosomal RNA, 318 nt
Filed under: Goniomonas pacifica
Lineage: Eukaryota; Cryptophyceae; Goniomonadida; Goniomonadaceae
Description: partial Bacterial large subunit ribosomal RNA
Rfam family: Bacterial large subunit ribosomal RNA
Source: RNAcentral